Molecule: signal recognition particle RNA, 95 nt
Filed under: Gemmatimonadaceae bacterium
Lineage: Bacteria; Pseudomonadati; Gemmatimonadota; Gemmatimonadia; Gemmatimonadales; Gemmatimonadaceae
Description: signal recognition particle sRNA small type
Rfam family: Bacterial small signal recognition particle RNA
About the family: The signal recognition particle (SRP) is a universally conserved ribonucleoprotein involved in the co-translational targeting of proteins to membranes. Archaeal SRP consists of a 7S RNA and homologues of the eukaryotic SRP19 and SRP54 proteins. In most bacteria, the SRP consists of a 4.5S RNA and the Ffh protein (a homologue of the eukaryotic SRP54 protein).
Source: RNAcentral
UCCAGAUCCCGGUGGGCGCUCGUGCGCCAACCCCGCCAGGGCCGAAAGGCAGCAACGGUACGCGAGGCGUUCGUCGCAUCGGUCGGUCUGGAGCA